UAUAUUUUAGUAUAAUAUGUAUAAAAGUUUUUGAUACUUUAGGAAACAGCUAACAUCUGUUAAAUAUAG
Molecule: transfer RNA, 69 nt
Filed under: Cerambycidae sp. 7 KM-2017
Lineage: Eukaryota; Metazoa; Arthropoda; Insecta; Coleoptera; Cerambycidae
Description: tRNA-Gln
Source: RNAcentral